Molecule: ribosomal RNA, 255 nt
Filed under: uncultured bacterium
Lineage: Bacteria
Description: partial 16S ribosomal RNA
Rfam family: Bacterial small subunit ribosomal RNA
Source: RNAcentral
UACAGAGGUCCCAAGCGUUGUUCGGAUUCAUUGGGCGUAAAGGGUGCGUAGGUGGCGCCGUAAGUCAGGUGAUGAAAUUUCGGAGCUUAACUCCGAAACUGCAUUUGAUACUGCGGUGCUUGAGGACUGGAGAGGAGACUGGAAUUUACGGUGUAGCAGUGAAGUGCGUAGAGAUCGUAAGGAAGACCAGUGGCGAAGGCGGGUCUCUGGACAGUUCCUGACACUGAGGCACGAAGGCCAGGGGAGCAAACGGGG